GGCCUUGUAGCUCAACCGGCGGAGCGCCCGCCUCUUAAGCGGGAUGAUGUGGGUUCGAGUCCCACCGGGGCCA
Molecule: transfer RNA, 73 nt
Filed under: Planctomycetota bacterium
Lineage: Bacteria; Pseudomonadati; Planctomycetota
Description: Planctomycetes bacterium (rhizosphere metagenome) tRNA-Lys
Rfam family: tRNA
About the family: Transfer RNA (tRNA) molecules are approximately 80 nucleotides in length.
Source: RNAcentral